UGGGGAAUUUUGGACAAUGGGCGAAAGCCUGAUCCAGCAAUGCCGCGUGUGUGAAGAAGGCCUUCGGGUUGUAAAGCACUUUUGUCCGGAAAGAAAUCCUUGGCUCUAAUACAGUCGGGGGAUGACGGUACCGGAAGAAUAAGCACCGGCUAACUACGUGCCAGCAGCCGCGGUAAUACGUAGGGUGCAAGCGUUAAUCGGAAUUACUGGGCGUAAAGCGUGCGCAGGCGGUUUGCUAAGACCGAUGUGAAAUCCCCGGGCUCAACCUGGGAACUGCAUUGGUGACUGGCAGGCUAGAGUAUGGCAGAGGGGGGUAGAAUUCCACGUGUAGCAGUGAAAUGCGUAGAGAUGUGGAGGAAUACCGAUGGCGAAGGCAGCCCCCUGGGGCCAAUACUGACGCUCAUGCACGAAAGCGUGGGGAGCAAACAGGAUUAGAUACCCUGGUAGUCCACGCCCUAAACGAUGUCAACUAGUUGUUGGGGAUUCAUUCCUUAGUAACGUAGCUAACGCGUGAAGUUGACCGCCUGGGGAGUACGGUCGCAAGAUUAAAACUU
This 554-nucleotide ribosomal RNA is filed under the name uncultured bacterium. Its description in RNAcentral is "partial 16S ribosomal RNA". It matches the Rfam family "Bacterial small subunit ribosomal RNA", at positions 355 to 902 of the family's 1533-position model. The record is from RNAcentral.